Long non-coding RNA from Homo sapiens (human), 276 nucleotides. NCBI's taxonomy places the organism in Eukaryota, Metazoa, Chordata, Mammalia, Primates, Hominidae. The record is from Ensembl.
ACCCUCAGAACCUAGCUUUCCUGCCUGCCCCCAGGGCUAAUCCAGAGGUGGGGGAGGGGCUAAAGACACUGGGCUCUGCCAGGGGCCUUGGAUGAGCUUAUCAUGGAACAUAAGAAAAAUAAAACAGAUGUCAGCCUGUGUAUGAAGAAUUCAUCCACAAGAUUUGAACUGGAUUCGUGCCUGGGGUGAUUCAGGAUGUCCAGUUAAGCUGGGAAAUACUGAUUCCACUGAUCCCCUUCAUUCACUCAGAGCAGACCGAAGACUGUGAGACUUCCU